This 29-nucleotide non-coding RNA is filed under the name Mus musculus (house mouse). The record is from RNAcentral. Lineage: Eukaryota; Metazoa; Chordata; Mammalia; Rodentia; Muridae.
UCUGAGGUCAUGUAAUAAGCGCCAUCUGC